GCGGGGAGGGGUCUGGCUUUGUAGAAGGUACCAGGCAGCAGCACGCGCAAGGGCUGGGGCUGAGCUGGGUUUCCAGGACAAUGGGGGGAAAGGGUCCCCAUCUCUCUUGUGGGAAUCCUGACACCUGUGUC
Cebus imitator (Panamanian white-faced capuchin) is the source of this 131-nucleotide long non-coding RNA. RefSeq lists it as uncharacterized. The transcript has 3 exons. Lineage: Eukaryota; Metazoa; Chordata; Mammalia; Primates; Cebidae. The record is from RefSeq and is a predicted model, not a curated record.